AGUCACUGACAUUAGACUACCCCCGUAGUCCAGGGUGUAAACGCUGCAGACUUGGUGUUGGGAACCCUUCGGGGGUGCUCAGUGCCGGAGAGAAGUUGUUAAGUCUGCUACUUGGGAGUACGUCCGCAAGGAUGAAACUUAAAGGAAUUGGCGGGGAGCACCGCAACGGGAGGAGCGUGCGGUUUAAUUGGAUUCAACGCCGAAAAACUCACCAGCAGCGACUGUUACAUGAAGGCCGAGAUGAAGACUCUGCUAGAUUUUCAG
RNAcentral lists this ribosomal RNA (264 nucleotides) under uncultured archaeon. RNAcentral describes it as "partial 16S ribosomal RNA". It matches the Rfam family "Archaeal small subunit ribosomal RNA", at positions 718 to 982 of the family's 1478-position model. The record is from RNAcentral.